UUUACUAGAAUAUAGUUAUCCUACUUGGAUAACUGUGGCAAUUCUAGAGCUAAUACAUGCAAAAAAGCUCCGCCCGCAAGGAACGAGCGCAUUUAUUAGAAUAAAAACCAAUCGGGUUUCGGCCCGUAAUUUGGUGAAUCUGAAUAACUUUGCCAAUCGCACAGUCCUAGUACUGGCGAUGUAUCUUUCAAGUGUCUGCCUUAUCAACUUUCGAUGGUAGGUUAUACGCCUACCAUGGUAGUAACGGGUAACGGAGAAUAAGGGUUCGACUCCGGAGAGGGAGCCUGAGAAACGGCUACCACAUCCAAGGAAGGCAGCAGGCGCGCAAAUUACCCACUUCCAGAACGGAGAGGUAGUGACGAAAAAUAACGAGACAGUCCUCUUCGAGGUCUGUCAUCGGAAUGGGUACAAUUUAAAUCCUUUAACGAGGAUCUAUUGGAGGGCAAGUCUGGUGCCAGCAGCCGCGGUAAUUCCAGCUCCAAUAGCGUAUAUUAAAGUUGUUGCGGUUAAAACGCUCGUAGUUGGAUCUGCGGCCUCGGAGAACGGUCCCCCGAAAGGGUGGUCACUGUCUCUCCUAGCCUAAAUUCAAGUCGUCUCUAGGUGCUCUUUACCGAGUGCUUAGAGUGACUAGAACGUUUACUUUGAAAAAAUUAGAGUGCUUAAAGCAGGCGAAAUAGCCUGAAUAAGGUGCAUGGAAUAAUGGAAUAGGACCUCGGUUCUAUUUUGUUGGUUUUCGGAACCUGAGGUAAUGAUUAAGAGGAACAGACGGGGGCAU
This 775-nucleotide ribosomal RNA is filed under the name Dorylaimus aff. stagnalis 7 JS-2018. RNAcentral's name for it is "SSU rRNA". It matches the Rfam family "Eukaryotic small subunit ribosomal RNA", at positions 116 to 891 of the family's 1831-position model. The record is from RNAcentral. Lineage: Eukaryota; Metazoa; Nematoda; Enoplea; Dorylaimida; Dorylaimidae.